RNAcentral lists this long non-coding RNA (548 nucleotides) under Rattus norvegicus (Norway rat). Its description in RNAcentral is "long non-coding RNA NONRATT012649". The record is from RNAcentral. Lineage: Eukaryota; Metazoa; Chordata; Mammalia; Rodentia; Muridae.
CGUCUUUCCAUUUUCACAAGAACAUCAGUAGAUGGCAGUUUGCUAAAGCAGAGUGAAGUGACCCAAUUCUCUGAAUCUCAGUGGAUCCAAGCAAAAGUUGCUCUCCAUACAAAAGCUGAAGAGUCUACACUUCCUUUCCAGCUAAUUUUAGAAGCUACCAUUUUGUCAUCAAAUGCUACUGUUGCUGUAGAUGACAUCAGUAUAUCCUGUGAAUGUGAAAUUUCCUAUAAGUCACUUCGAAGUACCAGCAUACAACAUAAAGUGGCUGAUUGUGACUUUGAAGCAAACAGCUGUGGGUGGUUUGAAGCCAGUGGUGGUGACCAUUUUGACUGGGUGUGGAGCUCCCAAAGUGAUCUUCCAGCUGAAUUAGAGCAACAGGCUCCAACCAGAGAUCACACUCAUGGAACAGCUCAAGGGCAUUUCAUGUUCAUUUUGAAGAGCAGCAACAGCUUGUUUCAAACUGCUAAACUUCAGAGCCCAACUUUCAGCCAGACAGGGCCUGAGUGCACACUGUCAUUCUGGUUUUAUAACUAUGGACUGUCAGUGGG